UGGGCAAUCUGCCCUUCACUUCGGGAUAACUCCGGGAAACCGGUGCUAAUACCGAAUACGACCACUUCAGGCAUCUGAUGGUGGUGGAAAGUUCCGGCGGUGGAGGAUGAGCUCGCGGCCUAUCAGCUUGUUGGUGAGGUAACGGCCCACCGAGGCAACGACGGGUAGCCGGCCUGAGAGGGUGACCGGCCACACUGGGACUGAGACACGGCCCAGACUCCGUACGGGAG
RNAcentral lists this ribosomal RNA (230 nucleotides) under uncultured bacterium. RNAcentral describes it as "partial 16S ribosomal RNA". It matches the Rfam family "Bacterial small subunit ribosomal RNA", at positions 118 to 347 of the family's 1533-position model. The record is from RNAcentral.